ACACAUGCAGUCGAGCGCGAAGGGUUUCGGCCUGAGUAGAGCGGCGAACGGGUGAGUAACGCGUGGGAAUCUGCCUGGUAAUGGGGGACAACAUCUCGAAAGGGAUGCUAAUACCGCAUACGCCCUAAGGGGGAAAGUGGGGGAUCUUCGGACCUCACGUUAUCAGAUGAGCCCGCGUCGGAUUAGCUAGUAGGUAGGGUAAAGGCCUACCUAGGCGACGAUCCGUAACUGGUCUGAGAGGAUGAUCAGUCACACUGGAACUGAGACACGGUCCAGACUCCUACGGGAGGCAGCAGUGGGGAAUAUUGGACAAUGGGGGCAACCCUGAUCCAGCCAUGCCGCGUGUGUGAAGAAGGCCUUCGGGUUGUAAAGCACUUUAAGUUGGGAGGAAGGCUUGAUGGUUAAUAACCAUUAGGAUUGACGUUACCAACAGAAUAAGCACCGGCUAACUCCGUGCCAGCAGCCGCGGUAAUACGGAGGGUGCAAGCGUUAAUCGGAAUUACUGGGCGUAAAGCGCGCGUAGGCGGCCAUUUAAGCUAGAUGUGAAAGCCCCGGGCUUAACCUGGGGAAUUGCAUUUAGAACUGUAUGGCUAGAGUAUGGAAGAGGAGUGUGGAAUUUCAGGUGUAGCGGUGAAAUGCGUAGAGAUCUGAAAGGACAUCAGUGGCGAAAGCGACACUCUGGUCCAAUACUGACGCUGAGUGCGAAAGCGUGGGGAUCAAACAGGAUUAGAUACCCUGG
Molecule: ribosomal RNA, 739 nt
Filed under: uncultured bacterium
Lineage: Bacteria
Description: bacterial SSU rRNA
Rfam family: Bacterial small subunit ribosomal RNA
Source: RNAcentral